Molecule: ribosomal RNA, 862 nt
Rfam family: Eukaryotic large subunit ribosomal RNA
AAGAACCAACAGGGAUUGCCCUAGUAACGGCGAGUGAAGCGGCAACAGCUCAAAUUUGAAAUCUGGCGUCUUUGGCGUCCGAGUUGUAAUUUGCAGAGGGCGCUUUGGCAUUGGCAGCGGUCCAAGUUCCUUGGAACAGGACGUCACAGAGGGUGAGAAUCCCGUACGUGGUCGCUAGCCUUUACCGUGUAAAGCCCCUUCGACGAGUCGAGUUGUUUGGGAAUGCAGCUCUAAAUGGGAGGUAAAUUUCUUCUAAAGCUAAAUACUGGCCAGAGACCGAUAGCGCACAAGUAGAGUGAUCGAAAGAUGAAAAGCACUUUGGAAAGAGAGUUAAAAAGCACGUGAAAUUGUUGAAAGGGAAGCGCUUGCAGCCAGACUUGCCUGUAGUUGCUCAUCCGGGUUUUUACCCGGUGCACUCUUCUACGGGCAGGCCAGCAUCAGUUUGGGCGGUUGGAUAAAGGUCUCUGUCAUGUACCUCCUCUCGGGGAGAUCUUAUAGGGGAGACGACAUGCAACCAGCCUGGACUGAGGUCCGCGCAUCUGCUAGGAUGCUGGCGUAAUGGCUGUAAGCGGCCCGUCUUGAAACACGGACCAAGGAGUCUAACAUCUAUGCGAGUGUUUGGGUGUCAAGCCCGAACGCGUAAUGAAAGUGAACGGAGGUGGGAACCUUUCGGGGUGCACCAUCGACCGAUCCUGAUGUCUUCGGAUGGAUUUGAGUAAGAGCAUAGCUGUUGGGACCCGAAAGAUGGUGAACUAUGCUUGAAUAGGGUGAAGCCAGAGGAAACUCUGGUGGAGGCUCGCAGCGGUUCUGACGUGCAAAUCGAUCGUCAAAUUUGGGCAUAGGGGCGAAAGACUAAUCGAAC